AGAGUCGGCCAGACAACCGCCGCCUUCCUUCGGGAAGGGGGAGGAAAGUCCGGACUCCACAGGGCAGGGUGAUGGCUAACGGCCAUCCGUCGUGAGACGCGGAACAGGGCAACAGAGAGCAGACCGCCGAUGGCCCCUGGCGAAAGCCAGGCGGAUCAGGUAAGGGUGAAACGGUGCGGUAAGAGCGCACCGCGGCGUGCGGCAACGCACACGGCACGGUAACCUCCACCCGGAGCAAUUCCAAAUAGGCAGGUGAGCGGCAUGCACCUCGUGUGCGUGUCGGCAACGGGGCCCCCGGGAGCCUGCGGGUAGGAAGCUUGAGCGGCGCAGUGAUGCGUCGUCUAGAGGAAUGGUUGUCAGGCGCGGCGCAAGCCGCGUUCACAGAAUCCGGCUUAUCGGCCGGCUCUGCAU
Molecule: RNase P RNA, 411 nt
Filed under: Pandoraea pulmonicola
Lineage: Bacteria; Pseudomonadati; Pseudomonadota; Betaproteobacteria; Burkholderiales; Burkholderiaceae
Description: RNase P RNA component class A
Rfam family: Bacterial RNase P class A
About the family: Ribonuclease P (RNase P) is a ubiquitous endoribonuclease, found in archaea, bacteria and eukarya as well as chloroplasts and mitochondria. Its best characterised activity is the generation of mature 5'-ends of tRNAs by cleaving the 5'-leader elements of precursor-tRNAs. Cellular RNase Ps are ribonucleoproteins.
Source: RNAcentral